GAUGAACGCUGGCGGCGUGCCUAACACAUGCAAGUCGAGCGAUCUUCUUCGGAAGGGAGCGGCGGACGGGUGAGUAACGCGUGGGUAACCUGCCCUGUACACACGGAUAACAUACCGAAAGGUAUGCUAAUACGGGAUAACAUAAGAAAGUCGCAUGGCUUUCUUAUCAAAGCUUUUGCGGUACAGGAUGGACCCGCGUCUGAUUAGCUAGUUGGUAAGGUAACGGCUUACCAAGGCGACGAUCAGUAGCCGACCUGAGAGGGUGAUCGGCCACAUUGGAACUGAGACACGGUCCAAACUCCUACGGGAGGCAGCAGUGGGGAAUAUUGCACAAUGGGCGAAAGCCUGAUGCAGCAACGCCGCGUGAGCGAUGAAGGCCUUCGGGUCGUAAAGCUCUGUCCUCAAGGAAGAUAAUGACGGUACUUGAGGAGGAAGCCCCGGCUAACUACGUGCCAGCAGCCGCGGUAAUACGUAGGGGGCUAGCGUUAUCCGGAAUUACUGGGCGUAAAGGGUGCGUAGGCGGUCUUUCAAGUCAGAAGUGAAAGGCUACGGCUCAACCGUAGUAAGCUUUUGAAACUGUAAGACUUGAGUGCAGGAGAGGAGAGUGGAAUUCCUAGUGUAGCGGUGAAAUGCGUAGAUAUUAGGAGGAACACCAGUUGCGAAGGCGGCUCUCUGGACUGU
Molecule: ribosomal RNA, 681 nt
Filed under: uncultured Clostridium sp.
Lineage: Bacteria; Bacillati; Bacillota; Clostridia; Eubacteriales; Clostridiaceae
Description: bacterial SSU rRNA
Rfam family: Bacterial small subunit ribosomal RNA
Source: RNAcentral